Molecule: ribosomal RNA, 1429 nt
Filed under: uncultured organism
Description: partial small subunit ribosomal RNA
Rfam family: Bacterial small subunit ribosomal RNA
Source: RNAcentral
UGACGAACGCUGGCGGCGUGCUUAACACAUGCAAGUCGAACGGAAAGGCCCUGCUUUUGUGGGGUGCUCGAGUGGCGAACGGGUGAGUAACACGCGAGUAACCUGCCCUUGACUUUGGGAUAACUUCAGGAAACUGGGGCUAAUACCGGAUAGGAGCUCCUGCUGCAUGGUGGGGGUUGGAAAGUUUCGGCGGUUGGGGAUGGACUCGCGGCUUAUCAGCUUGUUGGUGGGGUAGUGGCUUACCAAGGCUUUGACGGGUAGCCGGCCUGAGAGGGUGACCGGCCACAUUGGGACUGAGAUACGGCCCAGACUCCUACGGGAGGCAGCAGUGGGGAAUAUUGCACAAUGGGCGGAAGCCUGAUGCAGCAACGCCGCGUGCGGGAUGACGGCCUUCGGGUUGUAAACCGCUUUCGCCUGUGACGAAGCGUGAGUGACGGUAAUGGGUAAAGAAGCACCGGCUAACUACGUGCCAGCAGCCGCGGUGAUACGUAGGGUGCGAGCGUUGUCCGGAUUUAUUGGGCGUAAAGGGCUCGUAGGUGGUUGAUCGCGUCGGAAGUGUAAUCUUGGGGCUUAACCCUGAGCGUGCUUUCGAUACGGGUUGACUUGAGGAAGGUAGGGGAGAAUGGAAUUCCUGGUGGAGCGGUGGAAUGCGCAGAUAUCAGGAGGAACACCAGUGGCGAAGGCGGUUCUCUGGGCCUUUCCUGACGCUGAGGAGCGAAAGCGUGGGGAGCGAACAGGCUUAGAUACCCUGGUAGUCCACGCUGUAAACGGUGGGUACUAGGUGUGGGGUCCAUUCCACGGGUUCCGUGCCGUAGCUAACGCUUUAAGUACCCCGCCUGGGGAGUACGGCCGCAAGGCUAAAACUCAAAGGAAUUGACGGGGCCCCGCACAAGCGGCGGAGCAUGCGGAUUAAUUCGAUGCAACGCGUAGAACCUUACCUGGGUUUGACAUGGAUCGGGAGUGCUCAGAGAUGGGUGUGCCUCUUUUGGGGUCGGUUCACAGGUGGUGCAUGGCUGUCGUCAGCUCGUGUCGUGAGAUGUUGGGUUAAGUCCCGCAACGAGCGCAACCCUUGUUCACUGUUGCCAGCACGUUAUGGUGGGGACUCAGUGGAGACCGCCGGGGUCAACUCGGAGGAAGGUGGGGAUGACGUCAAGUCAUCAUGCCCCUUAUGUCCAGGGCUUCACGCAUGCUACAAUGGCUGGUACAGAGAGUGGCGAGCCUGUGAGGGUGAGCGAAUCUCGGAAAGCCGGUCUCAGUUCGGAUUGGGGUCUGCAACUCGACCUCAUGAAGUCGGAGUCGCUAGUAAUCGCAGAUCAGCAACGCUGCGGUGAAUACGUUCCCGGGGCUUGUACACACCGCCCGUCAAGUCAUGAAAGUUGGUAACACCCGAAGCCGGUGGCCUAACCGUUGUGGGGGAGCCGUCGAAGGU